GGUCCCAUCGUCCAGAGGUCUAGGACACCGCCCUUUCACGGCGGUAACAGGGGUUCGAACCCCCUUGGGACCGCCA
RNAcentral lists this transfer RNA (76 nucleotides) under Synergistaceae bacterium. RNAcentral's name for it is "tRNA-Glu". It matches the Rfam family "tRNA". From Rfam's summary of the family: Transfer RNA (tRNA) molecules are approximately 80 nucleotides in length. Their secondary structure includes four short double-helical elements and three loops (D, anti-codon, and T loops). The record is from RNAcentral. Lineage: Bacteria; Thermotogati; Synergistota; Synergistia; Synergistales; Synergistaceae.